This 355-nucleotide unclassified non-coding RNA is filed under the name soil metagenome. Its description in RNAcentral is "partial contains 5.8S ribosomal RNA, internal transcribed spacer 2, and large subunit ribosomal RNA". The stretch from base 1 to 120 matches the Rfam family "5.8S ribosomal RNA", at positions 35 to 154 of the family's 154-position model. The record is from RNAcentral.
GAUGAAGAACGUAGCGAAAUGCGAUAAGUAGUGUGAAUUGCAGAAUUCAGUGAAUCAUCGAAUCUUUGAACGCACAUUGCGCCUUCUAGUAUUCUGGGAGGCAUGCCUGUUUGAGCGUCAUUAAACAUCUCUCAAGUAUGAUUACUUGGAUGUGAAGGAAGAGUACCUUAAACUUAAGGAGUGUUCUCCUUUGAAAUUGAUUAGCAGAUGGUAAUGUUAUUAAAUCCCUGAUGUUGUAAGAAAUAACAGUGGUUUUGUAGACUAUUAUCUAGCUUUAAAUUAUAAUUUUUAUUAUGGUUGACCUCAAAUCAGGUAAGGAUACCCGCUGAACUUAAGCAUAUCAAUAAGCGGAGGA